Eurytemora carolleeae is the source of this 633-nucleotide long non-coding RNA. RefSeq lists it as uncharacterized. The transcript is spliced from 4 exons. NCBI's taxonomy places the organism in Eukaryota, Metazoa, Arthropoda, Copepoda, Calanoida, Temoridae. The record is from RefSeq and is a predicted model, not a curated record.
UACAAUUUGGUUAACGUCCAGAAAAUAAUAAUUUUGCUAAACAGAAAAAAAUAUUCGUCCAUUUUAGGGAGUUUUUUACAAUAAAAUAGAUUAGAGAACAGAAGGGUCCAGGGUUCAUUCAUGUUUUAUCUUUCUUUUGCAUUCAUCCUAUCAUUUCAUUAUUCUCUGCGAUUGAUACAACAAGUGCAGGUCCACCUAGUGAUAAAUGUUAUGAAUUAUUCUUUUGUUAACUGACAUGAUUCUAUCUUCAGAUACAACAAAGACAAUAAUCAGAAUGACUAGAAACAGUGAAUCAUCUGAGUUUUUGCAAACCAACGAAACCAACGAAACCGACGAAACCAACGAAACCAAUCGAAGAAUCAGUUCUUCGAGUUCAAGUUGUUUCACAGGAAAAAAUCUGGUUCUAGCCGCAGUGUCCCUAGUAUUAUGUACAGCUUUACUGUCAUGUACUGGUACAGCAUUACUUUUCAAAAUGGCAGCUCAAGAUAUUAGAAUCUCAAAAGAUCAGGUUUUAGUACUGAUCACACUGGAGGAAAGUUCAUCAGUUUAUCAUACUGUACAUACUGUAAACAUUAACUCAUGUACAGGGGUCAAUAACCUUCCACAUCUACCCAGCUCAUACCACAACCUUAC